AUUCCCUGUAAAGCAAACAAGUAGGAAUUGUUGAUGUAAGAUAGAUGUUUGGGGUCAUGCCAGCACUAUAAUUACCCAGUGACAGGGUGUUAGGAAUUAGGGAUAUGGGAGAUGGCAGAAAGAGCUGGCAGCCGUGGAGGACAGGAGUGCAGCUGGGCCAGGCACUUCAGCAGUGGAUGAGGGGAAAAGCAGAGAUCAAGGUAAGGCAGUGCAGUGUAUGACACAAAGCAUGAUUGGUAUGUUCUCAGUUGUAAUACAGUAAAAUCUCAGGGGUGUCUUCAUUUUUUUCCCUUUCUUUUUGACUGCACUGUGAUUUGGGGAAUGGAGGUUGAUUCGUAACAGACUAUUUUUUUUCCAACAAUCCAGUGAGAAAAUGACAGCAAAACUAGGCUGUAGCAUCUGUGUUGGAAACAAAUUAAAUCCAAGAUUAAAGUCUGAUUUUGUGAAGACAAAAACAAACAACUGAUAGGUGGAAUGUUUAGAAGUGUUUAUCCGUAGUUUUAAUUCUCCUGACAGGGAAAAAAAAAUCUGGCACGUCACUUCAUGGCUUUCAUCAGCUUAUGAGAUUGUACUACUCUGAUAAAUAUAAUCAUAAUUUGCUCUUACUAAUUAUUUUAAUGAGUGGAAAUUCUGUGUGGCUGUUGCUUACAGCACACAAAGUGCCAUAACUAAUCAAAGGGAGAAGGAAAGGUAUAAAAAGAUGGAGAAAGUGCGAAUAAAUUUAGGUCCAUUAAGAGUUACAUUUGAGGGAAUGAGUUGCAAAAGUAGAAAUAAUUGAGAGCACUUUGGAAUUGCAAAGUGUAAAAAGUGGGGACAAAGGGUACUACAGGUGUUGGAAUGAAAAUAAUGUUUCUGAGAACACUUUUUAUAUUUUGUGUGCAUGUUUAAUGGAGAAGGGAGACUGGAAGUAAAAUAAGAGAUGAAAAAGAUCCAUUACCAUCUAUGGGGCCUAAGAGAAUCAGAUAAAAUAAUAAACUGAGCAGUGGAUACAUUUCUCUGAUGUUCUAAGUAUUUAUAAUAACAUAAUAAUAUAAUAUAACUGUGUCAUUUAAACUGUAAGCCACUGGCAUAUAAUGUUUUCCUGAACCCUUCUUCAUCCCCUGGAGAAGUCCCACUGGGCCAGGCUCACGCAAUGCGAUGAGAAAAGUAGCUGGCAAUGGUAGGUGCCUUUCUAGUUCUCUCUGGCACUGCCAGAUGGCUCAUGCAGCAGCUGAGCUGUACCCACUGCUCAGGCAGGACAUCCAUCUGACCCUUCCUUCUCUGCGUGAGUGCCAGCUCAGUGGAGCUGCGUGGGUGUAGUUAUCCCUCAGGCUUUUCAGCUCCUAUUUCAAAUUGCCUGAUGAGUUCAGAAGUUAUCAGGGGCAGAGUCAAAGGCCAAGAUGAAACUACAGAAAGCAGCUGCAUUCUGAAAUGAGGAUACAAUUAUUGUAUGGGUAUUUUCUGAGGUGUCUGCUGCUUACCAGAAAGUGUCCGUCCCAGAACUGUGGAAAGCAGCAGGUGGGUGAGGAGUUGGUGUGAAGUGCUUGGCUGCUGUGCUCGGAGGAGGAGGAGAAAGGGGAGGAGGAGGAGGGAAGUGUCAGCUCCUGCUUCGUUUCUGCGAACGCUGUCACAGUGGAACAGGCGAGCACCUCGCAGCCAUGUUAGUGGAUGUGAGCAGUCUGCACAGUCACUCCCUGCUGAAGCUGAUGGAGCCUGGCCAGCCAGCAGCCAACACAGCAUUUGCAGCUACCUGAUAGAAACCAUCCUGCUGAGAGAUCGCAGCUGUAGGAGCAAGAUAGAGCUUGGGAGAAAGCAAGGCAGGCUCAAACACUGAGCAGUUGUGGAUCUUUAGAGCCCAGCUGUCCCACACAGGCCUUCUCUCAUUUUUAUUCCAGCAACUGACAUCAAGGGCAUGCUUUUUCUAGCAGUGUCUCUUGUCCAAACCCUUCCAGAUGGCUGUAUUUCUGCAAAACAAAGCAGAGUUCCUGGAGAUUUGUAAGGGCAUAUUCCAUAUGCAGAGCUCUAGUGUUUUAUGAGGCUUUAUUGCAAGUUGUAGCAAAAUGCUCUCAGUUAGGUGGUCCCCAGCUCUGAAGUCUGUUUUUUUGUCCUGCAUUGAUGCUUCUUGAAAAGGAAACUCAGAUGUUUCUAAAUGUUACAAUACAUGCAGAAAUAUUUUUCUUUCUCAACUGAAGGGGAUAAUCACAUUUUGUCAAAACUAAAAUGUAUUUAAAAUGGCUAAGUAAAAAUCUUUCUGAAUAACUGUUUAUUUGGAAUAUCUCCAGUAGGUAAGAAUUCUUUCUUCUGUACUUUUUUUAUCAGGGAUCACGUGUCUAUUGUCUUAACUUUCUCCUGCCAAAAGACUAUUUGUUAAGCAUCCAGUGGAAUUAAUUUACUGUUUAAUAAAAUGUAUCACUCUUA
Molecule: long non-coding RNA, 2397 nt
Organism: Zonotrichia leucophrys gambelii
Lineage: Eukaryota; Metazoa; Chordata; Aves; Passeriformes; Passerellidae
Exons: 2
Source: RefSeq, a predicted model, not a curated record